This 228-nucleotide unclassified non-coding RNA is filed under the name Hevea brasiliensis (rubber tree). The record is from RNAcentral. Lineage: Eukaryota; Viridiplantae; Streptophyta; Magnoliopsida; Malpighiales; Euphorbiaceae.
CUGUAACGUUCGAUAGGAUGAAUUCGAAGAGGACGGAGGUGCCAGAGCUCAAUCGUCCGAUUUGGGGAUUAGGGUUCAGCUGACUCUGCGGAGAUGAUGAGAACGAGAAAUUAAUUGGUUUGGGAAGAAUAAAAUUGGGAAAUUAGGGUUGCGGUUCUUAAUUGGCGAACUCCCAGUUGGGAGCCGAGACUCGAAGGAACGAAGAGAAAAAAUGCAAAUGUUGCUUCG